Molecule: ribosomal RNA, 752 nt
Filed under: uncultured euryarchaeote
Lineage: Archaea; Methanobacteriati; Methanobacteriota
Description: bacterial SSU rRNA
Rfam family: Archaeal small subunit ribosomal RNA (bases 1-570)
Source: RNAcentral
CGGUAAUACCGGCAGCUCAAGUGGUCGUCGCUUUUAUUGGGCCUAAAACGUCCGUAGCCUGUUUGGUAAAUCUGUGGGUAAAUCAACCAGCUUAACUGGUUGAAUUCUGCAGAGACUGCCAGACUAGGGACCGGGAGAGGUGUGGGGUACUCGAGGGGUAGGGGUAAAAUCCUGUCAUCCUUCGAGGACCACCAGUUGCGAAGGCGCCACACUGGAACGGAUCCGACGGUCAGGGACGAAGCCUAGGGGCACGAACCGGAUUAGAUACCCGGGUAGUCCUAGGUGUAAACGCUGUGAACUUGGUGUCGGGGGUCCGCAAGGGGUCCCCGGUGCCGGAGUGAAGAUGUUAAGUUCACUGCCUGGGGAGUACGGUCGCCGGUAAUACCGGCAGCUCAAGUGGUCGUCGCUUUUAUUGGGCCUAAAACGUCCGUAGCCUGUUUGGUAAAUCUGUGGGUAAAUCAACCAGCUUAACUGGUUGAAUUCUGCAGAGACUGCCAGACUAGGGACCGGGAGAGGUGUGGGGUACUCGAGGGGUAGGGGUAAAAUCCUGUCAUCCUUCGAGGACCACCAGUUGCGAAGGCGCCACACUGGAACGGAUCCGACGGUCAGGGACGAAGCCUAGGGGCACGAACCGGAUUAGAUACCCGGGUAGUCCUAGGUGUAAACGCUGUGAACUUGGUGUCGGGGGUCCGCAAGGGGUCCCCGGUGCCGGAGUGAAGAUGUUAAGUUCACUGCCUGGGGAGUACGGUCGC